AGUGUGCACACAGUGACUACUACUCUUGUCUGUGGGCAGCAGCAGAAAUUCUGUGGGUUUUAUCCAGUUUCCCCAUCUGAUCAUAGCCUAAUCCUCUCCUGUGUCAUCACCUCACAAGUCCAGCAUGAAGGGGUUAAGGCUUUUUAGCAGGGUAUAUGUUAGUGUUUUUCUUGGAUUUAACUGAAAAAUUUCUCAUGCAAAUCAUAAAUGUGAAACCUUUCUAGAUUUGCCCUUUUGCUAUCUAAGUGUCCAGCUGGGUUUGGUUUUACUUUGUGCAGCUGUCGAUACUUCCAAAGUUUAGGGAAGUGUAACAGCUUGGAGAUCUGUGUCUAAAAAGUUUAUACUGAGUGUACCCCUCCUUGAAGAUUUAUCACAACACUAAAGUCAGCAGAGAAUUGCCCUGAGGCUAAGCAAAAACCAGCCUAAAAUACAAUGAUUGUGAAUUGUUAAAUAAAACAGAACAAGAUGAAUGUGAAGUGUCGCCAUGAUUCAGAAGACACUUCCUGUUGGAGAGAGAAUAAGGGGAGAGGAAGACUUCCUGCUCAAUGAAAUUACGGAUCAGAAAUUUAAAGCAAAGAGAAUAACAUGCUUUCAUUUUCCUUGGCCUGGAAGGUAUCAACAUGUACUUACAAAAGAGUGAAGUAGGAAAUGGCACAGAAGAAAUAACAAUCAGAAAGUAAUGAGUUUUUUCAGAGUAAUUUUUCUUAAAUAUACAUUUCUUGCAUUAUUCAUAUUUGUUUAGCAACAUGAAUUAUGCUAACUGCUUAUAUCUAAUUACUUCGUUUGAAAGCACCACCUUCUGCAUAAUGCCCUUAAGCUCCGAUUGUGCAAGGAUUUAUGUAUGUUUUUAACUUAAUGUACCCUGGACCUUAUUCCUAGUUAAACUGAGGCCUUUUUACAUCAAUGUAAUGAAUGUAAAUGCACUUGACGACUACUUUUAGACCAGUCUUGCUACUAGACCAUUUUAGAGAAACCAGAGAGUGAGUAAAUAAAUCAUAGACCCUGUGAGUA
Molecule: long non-coding RNA, 1011 nt
Organism: Falco peregrinus (peregrine falcon)
Lineage: Eukaryota; Metazoa; Chordata; Aves; Falconiformes; Falconidae
Exons: 3
Source: RefSeq, a predicted model, not a curated record